RNAcentral lists this ribosomal RNA (460 nucleotides) under uncultured bacterium. RNAcentral describes it as "partial 16S ribosomal RNA". It matches the Rfam family "Bacterial small subunit ribosomal RNA", at positions 338 to 795 of the family's 1533-position model. The record is from RNAcentral.
CCUACGGGUGGCAGCAGUGAGGAAUAUUGGUCAAUGGGCGCGAGCCUGACCCAGCCAAGUAGCGUGAAGGAUGACUGCCCUACGGGUUGUACACUUCUUUUAUCAAGGAAUACAGUGAUGCACGUGUGCCUUUUUGUAUGUACCCUAUGAAUAAGGAUCGGCUAACUCCGUGCCAGCAGCCGCGGUAAUACGGAGGAUCCGAGCGUUAUCCGGAUUUAUUGGGUUUAAAGGGAGCGUAGGUGGGUUGUUAAGUCAGUUGUGAAAGUUUGCGGCUCAACCGUAAAAUUGCAAUUGAUACUGGCAGUCUUGAGUACAGUAGAGGUAGGCGGAAUUCGUGGUGUAGCGGUGAAAUGCUUAGAUAUCACGAAGAACUCCGAUUGCGAAGGCAGCUUACUAAACUGCCACUGACAUUGAUGCUCGAAAGUGUGGGUAUCAAACAGGAUUAGAUACCCGAGUAGUC